This 467-nucleotide ribosomal RNA is filed under the name uncultured bacterium. RNAcentral's name for it is "partial 16S ribosomal RNA". It matches the Rfam family "Bacterial small subunit ribosomal RNA", at positions 28 to 507 of the family's 1533-position model. The record is from RNAcentral.
GACGAACGCUGGCGGCGUGCUUAACACAUGCAAGUCGAACGGAAAGGCCUCUUUCGGGGGGUACUCGAGUGGCGAACGGGUGAGUAACACGUGAGUAACCUGCCCUUGACUUUGGGAUAACUUCAGGAAACUGGGGCUAAUACCGGAUAGGAGCUCCUGCUGCAUGGUGGGGGUUGGAAAGUUUCGGCGGUUGGGGAUGGACUCGCGGCUUAUCAGCUUGUUGGUGGGGUAGUGGCUUACCAAGGCUUUGACCGGUAGCCGGCCUGAGAGGGUGACCGGCCACAUUGGGACUGAGAUACGGCCCAGACUCCUACGGGAGGCAGCGGUGGGGAAUAUUGCACAAUGGGUGGAAGCCUGAUGCAGCAACGCCGUGUGCGGGAUGACGGCCUUCGGUUUGUAAACCGCUUUCGCUCAUGACGAAGCUUUGUGUGACGGUAGUGGGUAAAGAAGCACCGGCUAACUACGUG